AACGAACGCUGGCGGCAUGCCUAACAUAUGCAAGUCGAACGAGACCUUCGGGUCUAGUGGCGCACGGGUGCGUAACGCGUGGGAACCUGCCCUUAGGUUCGGAAUAACUCCCCGAAAGGGGUGCUAAUACGGGAAAAGGUCUCGGAACAAAAGAUUUAUCGCCUUUGGAUGGGCCCGCGUUGGAUUAGCUAGUUGGUAGGGUAAAAGCCUACCAAGGCGACGAUCCAUAGCUGGUCUGAGAGGAUGAUCAGCCACACUGGGACUGAGACACGGCCCAGACUCCUACGGGAGGCAGCAGUGGGGAAUAUUGGACAAUGGGCGAAAGCCUGAUCCAGCAAUGCCGCGUGAGUGAUGAAGGCCUUAGGGUUGUAAAGCUCUUUUACCCGGGAUGAUAAUGACAGUACCGGGAGAAUAAGCUCCGGCUAACUCCGUG
RNAcentral lists this ribosomal RNA (433 nucleotides) under uncultured bacterium. RNAcentral describes it as "partial 16S ribosomal RNA". It matches the Rfam family "Bacterial small subunit ribosomal RNA", at positions 29 to 507 of the family's 1533-position model. The record is from RNAcentral.